RNAcentral lists this ribosomal RNA (484 nucleotides) under uncultured bacterium. RNAcentral's name for it is "partial 16S ribosomal RNA". It matches the Rfam family "Bacterial small subunit ribosomal RNA", at positions 29 to 507 of the family's 1533-position model. The record is from RNAcentral.
AUUGAACGCUGGCGGCAUGCUUUACACAUGCAAGUCGAACGGCAGCGCGGGCUUCGGCCUGGCGGCGAGUGGCGAACGGGUGAGUAAUACAUCGGAACGUGCCCAGUAGCGGGGGAUAGCUCGGCGAAAGCCGGAUUAAUACCGCAUACGACCUGAGGGCGAAAGCGGGGGAUCUUCGGACCUUGCGCUAUUGGAGCGGCCGAUGGCAGAUUAGCUAGUUGGUGGGGUAAAGGCCUACCAAGGCGACGAUCUGUAGCUGGUCUGAGAGGACGACCAGCCACACUGGGACUGAGACACGGCCCAGACUCCUACGGGAGGCAGCAGUGGGGAAUUUUGGACAAAGGGCGAAAGCCUGAUCCAGCAAUGCCGCGUGGGUGAUGAAGGCCUUCGGGUUGUAAAGCACUUUUGGCGGGAACGAAAAGGACUGUGCCAAUACCACGGUUCGAUGACGGUACCCGCAGAAUAAGCACCGGCUAACUACGUG